GAUCAUGGCUCAGAACGAACGCUGGCGGCAUGGAUUAGGCAUGCAAGUCGAACGGUGCAGCAAUGCACAGUGGCGCAAGGGUGAGGAACGCGUGAGUAACCUGCCCUUAAGUUGGGAAUAGCUCCUGGAAACGGGAAUUAAUACCGAAUGUGAUCGUCGGGAGACAUCUUCUGGUGAUUAAAGGCCGCAAGGUCGCUUAAGGAGGGGCUCGCGUCCCAUUAGCUAGUUGGUGAGGUAACGG
This 241-nucleotide ribosomal RNA is filed under the name uncultured bacterium. RNAcentral describes it as "partial 16S ribosomal RNA". It matches the Rfam family "Bacterial small subunit ribosomal RNA", at positions 15 to 263 of the family's 1533-position model. The record is from RNAcentral.